This 97-nucleotide microRNA precursor is filed under the name Poecilia formosa (Amazon molly). RNAcentral describes it as "miRNA (ENSPFOG00000021220.1)". The stretch from base 8 to 89 matches the Rfam family "let-7 microRNA precursor family". Rfam says of the family: This family represents the microRNAs (miRNA) let-7 and mir-98. let-7 was identified from a study of developmental timing in C. elegans, and was later shown to be part of a much larger class of non-coding RNAs termed miRNAs. Lineage: Eukaryota; Metazoa; Chordata; Actinopteri; Cyprinodontiformes; Poeciliidae. The record is from RNAcentral.
CUGUCCUUAAGGCUGAGGUAGUAGAUUGAAUAGUUGUGGGGUUCAUGUCCUCCUUUUGAGAUAACUAUACAAUCUACUGUCUUUCCAAAGGAAACAG